CUCGGUAUGGUGAAAUGGUAUCACUCUGCGUUUGGGACGCAGGAGCGUAGGUUCGAUUCCUGCUACCGAGACCA
This 74-nucleotide transfer RNA is filed under the name bacterium. RNAcentral describes it as "tRNA-Pro". It matches the Rfam family "tRNA". From Rfam's summary of the family: Transfer RNA (tRNA) molecules are approximately 80 nucleotides in length. Their secondary structure includes four short double-helical elements and three loops (D, anti-codon, and T loops). Further hydrogen bonds mediate the characteristic L-shaped molecular structure. tRNAs have two regions of fundamental functional importance: the anti-codon, which is responsible for specific mRNA codon recognition, and the 3' end, to which the tRNAs corresponding amino acid is attached (by aminoacyl-tRNA synthetases). tRNAs cope with the degeneracy of the genetic code in two manners: having more than one tRNA (with a specific anti-codon) for a particular amino acid; and 'wobble' base-pairing, i.e. permitting non-standard base-pairing at the 3rd anti-codon position. The record is from RNAcentral.